This is a long non-coding RNA of Drosophila ananassae, 2626 nucleotides long. RefSeq lists it as uncharacterized. NCBI's taxonomy places the organism in Eukaryota, Metazoa, Arthropoda, Insecta, Diptera, Drosophilidae. The record is from RefSeq and is a predicted model, not a curated record. The transcript is spliced from 2 exons.
UUCUCUAGAUUGUAGCACUUGCCAUGACGGGGAGCGACACCUAUGAGCCGCAGUUGGCGGAGGGUGGCGCCAUCUAUGAGAAAAGGUUUAGCGUAGGUAUUGGGGGAGCGCCUGGAACAAAACGAAUUCCGGUAGUUCGCCAUUUGUGGACCCCAGGAGCCAGCCCGCCGAAAAUCCGGCGUCGGUCCGCUUAUGGGUAUGGGUGGGAUCAUUCCCAAGCAAGAUCUGCAACAAGCCAGACGUGUCAGCAAGGCGCUAAGCAGCAAAACCACGGGAGAAAAAACCAACAAUAUUCGAAGAUCCCGCCGGCAGUUGUGACAAUUAAUUUUGGGGACGCUCAAAGGCUCCCAAUUGUCCACCGGCGUCAGUAAACCGAGUGUAGAGGUGGAAGUGGUGGCUCGAGGAAAACCCAGGGGCCGAGCAAAAGUCCGAGUGGACUAUUCCGUGUCCACUAUUAAAGAACUCCAGGUGGCUCAACUAAGGAAGUCCAACCAAAGGCGGACGGAGGAGCACCGAGGAAGGAGAUGAAAUCCCGGCCUAAAAUAGGCUAACCGCAGCAAGUUCGCUUCGAACCGAAGCUAGGUUCGAGCGAACGGAGGAGCGCAGAGGAGGCGCUAACCGCAGUGUAGCGCGAUCUUCAAGAACGGGAGGGAGGAAAACAUCGGAGGUGUCCCAGUAAAAGGUCCAGGCUGAAUGGAUAUUCCAGCUUUGGAUCCGGUCCGUAGUGUCCCUGGCCAGUGAUUUCAAGGAGCCAUAUUAGAGAAGCAGUGUAAACCCAAAGUGAAAUGGAUAAGAUUUAAGCAAGAAAAAAAAAAAAACAAGAAAAAAUCGGAAGAAACCCGGAAAAAAAAAAAAAAGGUUUAAGGAAGCAAAGAAAAGUUUUAACGUAACGUUCCUAAUGGCUUGAUCGGGAAACAAGGCUAGUCAGAGGAAAUUCAAUGUCGCUUCAAAUUGUGUUAUUGUUUUCGUGGUUUUAUUUAAUUGUGCCGCCCCAGUGGGGAAUAAUUUGUAAGGCAUAAAAACUUUGUUUCAGCGACCCCCCCGAAAGCGCUUUCGUCGUGGGAUGCAGCAAGGAGUUCUCAGUGAGUAAAACCGGCCAAUUUGUUUUAUGUGACAAUUUUGUUUUGAUUUUUAAUCCUUGGUGUCCCGACCAAUGCGGACUCUAAGAGUCACAAGUUUUCCUAUGUGUUUUUGGUUCCUUUAAUUUUUUUUUUUGUUUGGUUUUUAAAAGAAAAAAAAAUAAUUAUUAAUACCCAGUCUUUCACUUUGAUUUACGUUGUUGAUUCAUAAUUUUAUUUAAUUCUAUCAAUUUUAACUUGUGCUAUUUGCUAAGCCAAUUCUAAGCUGAUAUGUACGCCUUGAUGUUUAUUUAUAUUUAUUUAUUGAAAUUAUUUUAGCUUUAGUUCUUUUUAUACGCAUUUGCCAUGAUCCAAUUUUAUAUGUAUGUUCUAUCGUAGGAAUAAAUAUUUUAUAAUGUUUUAAACCAUCAGUUUUAUGCCGCAGCUAGCAGAGAGUAGGUAGUAGGAGUACCCAUGGAAAGGGGUCGCUCGCAGGAUGUGGAAAGCGAGCGAUCAUUGGUAGGGUGGGCACGCGAGAGUCGCCCCAUGACACCUGGGUGACUCGUAAGAAAGGCGCAGGAAGGGAACCCCCCCCAUCUCUCACCAUCCUAGGAUAUCGGGACUCUUUCCGGAGAGUAGAUAUUUCGUCGCGAGCACGCAUUUGAAGUUAGAUCCCUACCUGGAGAGGCACCCUUGGGAACCGGCAAAUAACACCCCCCUUGCCGACGAGCCGAAGCCGGAUAUUCCAGCGUGCGCUGGUUCCCAGGUUUUACCACCCGCCUCCGCCCAUAGAUGAUUGUAGGAGUUCGUUACAAUUAUAAUCAUUUAUAGUUAUUAGGAAUCAUAAUUUUUGGCGCCCAACUUUAAGGCCACAUUUUUGUUGUGACCCAAGCUCCCGAAAUCCUCAAACAAUAGUAAGGAUCAGGAACCAGGUGGUGGGCUAUACAACCAAACAUAGCCACGGUUGCCACCGGUUGCUAUCAAACAUGAGUAUCUUGCCUACAGUAAUGGUAAAACGCAUAGGAACACAGAGUAUGGAAAUAUUCUGUUCUCUGUCCACGUUAGACCUUACUAAAGGCAGAGAAAAUAAUCUUAAUCCUAAUUUAAAAAAUUCCAUAUAAAUAUCCGCACCUGCUUAAUCAAACGCUUAGGAAAUGCAAGCGUAUUUUGUCCUUGGACGAAGCGCUUGACCACGGGUGAUUAGGUCAGAUGUGGGUAUUUUUGUCAUCAAAAGAAAAAAAUAUAUAUAAAUGAAAUAUAUUUAAAAGCAGGUUCGCGACAUUCGAAGGGUAUGCAGCGUUGGUCAUCUUUUUAUAAAGAUUGCUGCAAACCACGAUGGUCAUCAUAGCGAACAUGCUUAGCUGCAAACGUAGAGAGGUGUUAAACGCAGGAAUACAGGAAGAGGGGGAUUAUGCUAAUGAGGCAAUUAGUGCAAUUCCUUUACUUCGUCUGUCCGCGGUUUGCACUAACUGUCUUAUUGUCGCAGACUUGCGAUGAGCAGCCUUGCACAAAAUUUUUUUUCGUUUUUUUCAUAUUCCCUAUUCCUCAAGCCUAAUCGCGCAAAUUUG